GUUUUGCCCUUCUUGUCAGGAACCCGUUGGGAUUUACUUCUCGACGGUGGAAUGGCAUCGUUUACUGUGAAAAAAUUAGAGUGUUCAAAGCAGGCAUCGCCGUUGAAUACAUUAGCAUGGAAUAAUAAGAUAAGACUUUGGUGGUCUAUUUUGUUGGUUUGCACGCCAAAGUAAUGAUUAAUAGGGAUAGUUGGGGGUAUUCGUAUUCUAUUGCUAGAGGUGAAAUUCUUAAAUUUAUGGAAGACGAACUACUGCGAAAGCAUUUACCAAGGAUGUUUUCAUUAAUCAAGAACGAAAGUUAGGGGAUCGAAGAUGAUUAGAUACCAUCGUAGUCUUAACCAUAAACUAUGCCGACUAGGGA
Molecule: ribosomal RNA, 361 nt
Filed under: Stramenopile sp. RCC4570
Lineage: Eukaryota
Description: SSU rRNA
Rfam family: Eukaryotic small subunit ribosomal RNA
Source: RNAcentral